UACGGAGGGUGCAAGCGUUGUUCGGAAUUACUGGGCGUAAAGCGCGUGUAGGCGGUUGAGCAAGUCAGAUGUGAAAGCCUCUCGCUUAACGGGAGAAGUGCAUUUGAAACUACUCGGCUAGAGUUUGGGAGAGGAAAGUGGAAUUCCCGGUGUAGAGGUGAAAUUCGUAGAUAUCGGGAGGAACACCGGUGGCGAAGGCGGCUUUCUGGCCCGAUACUGACGCUGAGACGCGAAAGCGUGGGGAGCAAACAGG
This 253-nucleotide ribosomal RNA is filed under the name uncultured bacterium. RNAcentral describes it as "partial 16S ribosomal RNA". It matches the Rfam family "Bacterial small subunit ribosomal RNA", at positions 524 to 776 of the family's 1533-position model. The record is from RNAcentral.